This 109-nucleotide non-coding RNA is filed under the name Halomonas elongata. Its description in RNAcentral is "TPP sequence". It matches the Rfam family "TPP riboswitch aptamer (THI element)". From Rfam's summary of the family: Vitamin B(1) in its active form thiamin pyrophosphate (TPP) is an essential coenzyme that is synthesised by coupling of pyrimidine and thiazole moieties in bacteria. The previously detected thiamin-regulatory element, thi box was extended, resulting in a new, highly conserved RNA secondary structure, the THI element, which is widely distributed in eubacteria and also occurs in some archaea. Lineage: Bacteria; Pseudomonadati; Pseudomonadota; Gammaproteobacteria; Oceanospirillales; Halomonadaceae. The record is from RNAcentral.
CACUGUCGCCAGGGGAGUCUCGUACCGACGGGGCUGAGAAAGCGCGUGACGCUGACCCUGGAACCUGAUCCGGUUCACACCGGCGGAGGAAGUGCGACAUGCCUUACUU